UACAGAGGGGGCAAGCGUUAUUCGGAAUUAUUGGGCGUAAAGGGCGCGUAGGCGGCCUGGCAAGUGACGGGUGAAAUCCCUCGGCUUAACCGAGGAUGUGCCCGUUAGACUGUCAGGCUUGAGACCGGGAGAGGUGAGUGGAAUUCCCAGUGUAGCGGUGAAAUGCGUAGAUAUUGGGAGGAACACCAGUGGCGAAGGCGGCUCACUGGACCGGUACUGACGCUGAGGCGCGAAAGCGUGGGGAGCAAACAGG
This 253-nucleotide ribosomal RNA is filed under the name uncultured bacterium. RNAcentral describes it as "partial 16S ribosomal RNA". It matches the Rfam family "Bacterial small subunit ribosomal RNA", at positions 524 to 776 of the family's 1533-position model. The record is from RNAcentral.